This 716-nucleotide ribosomal RNA is filed under the name Salmonella enterica subsp. enterica serovar Enteritidis. RNAcentral describes it as "partial 23S ribosomal RNA". It matches the Rfam family "Bacterial large subunit ribosomal RNA", at positions 1 to 751 of the family's 2925-position model. Lineage: Bacteria; Pseudomonadati; Pseudomonadota; Gammaproteobacteria; Enterobacterales; Enterobacteriaceae. The record is from RNAcentral.
GGGUUGUGAGGUUAAGCGACUAAGCGUACACGGUGGAUGCCCUGGCAGUCAGAGGCGAUGAAGGGCGUGCUAAUCUGCGAUAAGCGCCGGUAAGGUGAUAUGAACCGUUAUAACCGGCGAUACCCGAAUGGGGAAACCCAGUGUGAUUCGUCACACUAUCAUUAACUGAAUCCAUAGGUUAAUGAGGCGAACCGGGGGAACUGAAACAUCUAAGUACCCCGAGGAAAAGAAAUCAACCGAGAUUCCCCCAGUAGCGGCGAGCGAACGGGGAGGAGCCCAGAGCCUGAAUCAGCAUGUGUGUUAGUGGAAGCGUCUGGAAAGGCGCGCGAUACAGGGUGACAGCCCCGUACACAAAAGCGCAUGUGCUGUGAGCUCGAUGAGUAGGGCGGGACACGUGGUAUCCUGUCUGAAUAUGGGGGGACCAUCCUCCAAGGCUAAAUACUCCUGACUGACCGAUAGUGAACCAGUACCGUGAGGGAAAGGCGAAAAGAACCCCGGCGAGGGGAGUGAAAAAGAACCUGAAACCGUGUACGUACAAGCAGUGGGAGCACCCUUUGGGUGUGACUGCGUACCUUUUGUAUAAUGGGUCAGCGACUUAUAUUCUGUAGCAAGGUUAACCGAAUAGGGGAGCCGGAGGGAAACCGAGUCUUAAUUGGGCGUUAAGUUGCAGGGUAUAGACCCGAAACCCGGUGAUCUAGCCAUGGGCAGGUUGAAGG